This 73-nucleotide transfer RNA is filed under the name Otolemur garnettii (small-eared galago). It matches the Rfam family "tRNA". Rfam says of the family: Transfer RNA (tRNA) molecules are approximately 80 nucleotides in length. Their secondary structure includes four short double-helical elements and three loops (D, anti-codon, and T loops). Further hydrogen bonds mediate the characteristic L-shaped molecular structure. tRNAs have two regions of fundamental functional importance: the anti-codon, which is responsible for specific mRNA codon recognition, and the 3' end, to which the tRNAs corresponding amino acid is attached (by aminoacyl-tRNA synthetases). tRNAs cope with the degeneracy of the genetic code in two manners: having more than one tRNA (with a specific anti-codon) for a particular amino acid; and 'wobble' base-pairing, i.e. permitting non-standard base-pairing at the 3rd anti-codon position. The record is from Rfam by way of RNAcentral. Lineage: Eukaryota; Metazoa; Chordata; Mammalia; Primates; Galagidae.
GUGCCUGUGGCUCAAUGAGUAGAGUGCUGGCCCCAUAUGCCAGAGGUGGCGGGUUCAAACCCAGCCCCGGCCA